This 763-nucleotide long non-coding RNA is filed under the name Pan troglodytes (chimpanzee). Its description in RNAcentral is "lincRNA". The record is from RNAcentral. Lineage: Eukaryota; Metazoa; Chordata; Mammalia; Primates; Hominidae.
CCGUGCUUUCAGCACUACUGGCAAGCAAAGUGUUCACUGAUGAAUGAACAAUUACAUUUACCCACAGACUGAAAUAUAAUGUUAUUUUGUUUUGACUGAAAUUCCAACUCAGUGUGAGAAUACUGUGAAAAAAAAUCAUGAGAAGUAUCCUCAUAGGUGAGUCUUUUCACACAUCUGCACUAGUGAAUAUCUGAAUUUUAAAAGCCACUCUAGACCUACAUAGGUGAUGAACGAUGUGUACUUGAAAACAGUACACUCUUGCACAGCUGUCCCUGGAGCUUCCCCGUGGAGCUGUUAAACUUGCCCUUCGCUGGCUGUUUUCCACAAAGUAAUAUGGUUACAUAGAUUCACGGCUCAUGGCAAUGUUUCAUUAAGACAGUUCUUGAUGGCCGCUCCACACCUUUCUCACCACAUCUCACAGGCUGCCCUGCUGAGCCAGGUCUCCCUGGAACCCGGGGCUCCUGCGCAGGCCCCCAUUUUGCUCCAGAACACCCAGGAAGGCGGGGCUUGGGCUGGAAUGGGGACACCGAUUACUCUCUAUUCGGGCCUUUGGUGUCAGCUGAGGUCGAUACUGGUGCCAGGAUCGAGACUGUGCCCAUCCCAUCGAGAGCGGGCAGAUAUGGGGGCGCACUGGACCGGGCCUCCCAGGCUGACACCCAUUCACAGCAGCCUGAGCCUAAUCCGCCACUGCUCGCCUUCCUCCGACGUCUCCACCUAAACCAUCCUUCUGCACAUUGUAACCCAUCACUCCGCCCUUUGUCCA